This 432-nucleotide ribosomal RNA is filed under the name uncultured bacterium. RNAcentral's name for it is "partial 16S ribosomal RNA". It matches the Rfam family "Bacterial small subunit ribosomal RNA", at positions 29 to 507 of the family's 1533-position model. The record is from RNAcentral.
ACGAACGCUGGCGGCAUGCCUAACACAUGCAAGUCGAACGAGACCUUCGGGUCUAGUGGCGCACGGGUGCGUAACGCGUGGGAACCUGCCCUUAGGUUCGGAAUAACUCCCCGAAAGGGGUGCUAAUACCGGAUAAUGUCUUCGGACCAGAGAUUUAUCGCCUUUGGAUGGGCCCGCGUUGGAUUAGCUAGUUGGUAGGGUAAAAGCCUACCAAGGCGACGAUCCAUAGCUGGUCUGAGAGGAUGAUCAGCCACACUGGGACUGAGACACGGCCCAGACUCCUACGGGAGGCAGCAGUGGGGAAUAUUGGACAAUGGGCGAAAGCCUGAUCCAGCAAUGCCGCGUGAGUGAUGAAGGCCUUAGGGUUGUAAAGCUCUUUUACCCGGGAUGAUAAUGACAGUACCGGGAGAAUAAGCUCCGGCUAACUCCGUG